RNAcentral lists this ribosomal RNA (908 nucleotides) under Limosilactobacillus fermentum. RNAcentral's name for it is "bacterial SSU rRNA". It matches the Rfam family "Bacterial small subunit ribosomal RNA", at positions 49 to 913 of the family's 1533-position model. The record is from RNAcentral. Lineage: Bacteria; Bacillati; Bacillota; Bacilli; Lactobacillales; Lactobacillaceae.
UAAUACAUGCAAGUCGAACGCGUUGGCCCAAUUGAUUGAUGGUGCUUGCACCUGAUUGAUUUUGGUCGCCAACGAGUGGCGGACGGGUGAGUAACACGUAGGUAACCUGCCCAGAAGCGGGGGACAACAUUUGGAAACAGAUGCUAAUACCGCAUAACAACGUUGUUCGCAUGAACAACGCUUAAAAGAUGGCUUCUCGCUAUCACUUCUGGAUGGACCUGCGGUGCAUUAGCUUGUUGGUGGGGUAAUGGCCUACCAAGGCGAUGAUGCAUAGCCGAGUUGAGAGACUGAUCGGCCACAAUGGGACUGAGACACGGCCCAUACUCCUACGGGAGGCAGCAGUAGGGAAUCUUCCACAAUGGGCGCAAGCCUGAUGGAGCAACACCGCGUGAGUGAAGAAGGGUUUCGGCUCGUAAAGCUCUGUUGUUAAAGAAGAACACGUAUGAGAGUAACUGUUCAUACGUUGACGGUAUUUAACCAGAAAGUCACGGCUAACUACGUGCCAGCAGCCGCGGUAAUACGUAGGUGGCAAGCGUUAUCCGGAUUUAUUGGGCGUAAAGAGAGUGCAGGCGGUUUUCUAAGUCUGAUGUGAAAGCCUUCGGCUUAACCGGAGAAGUGCAUCGGAAACUGGAUAACUUGAGUGCAGAAGAGGGUAGUGGAACUCCAUGUGUAGCGGUGGAAUGCGUAGAUAUAUGGAAGAACACCAGUGGCGAAGGCGGCUACCUGGUCUGCAACUGACGCUGAGACUCGAAAGCAUGGGUAGCGAACAGGAUUAGAUACCCUGGUAGUCCAUGCCGUAAACGAUGAGUGCUAGGUGUUGGAGGGUUUCCGCCCUUCAGUGCCGGAGCUAACGCAUUAAGCACUCCGCCUGGGGAGUACGACCGCAAGGUGAAACUCAAAGGAAUUGA